RNAcentral lists this ribosomal RNA (505 nucleotides) under uncultured bacterium. Its description in RNAcentral is "partial 16S ribosomal RNA". It matches the Rfam family "Bacterial small subunit ribosomal RNA", at positions 355 to 876 of the family's 1533-position model. The record is from RNAcentral.
UGGGGAAUAUUGCACAAUGGGCGAAAGCCUGAUGCAGCAACGCCGCGUGAGUGAUGAAGGUCUUCGGAUUGUAAAGCUCUGUCUUUUGGGGCGAUAAUGACGGUACCAAAGGAGGAAGCCACGGCUAACUACGUGCCAGCAGCCGCGGUAAUACGUAGGUGGCGAGCGUUGUCCGGAUUUACUGGGCGUAAAGGGUGCGUAGGCGGAUGUUUAAGUGAGAUGUGAAAUACCCGGGCUUAACUUGGGUGCUGCAUUUCAAACUGGAUAUCUAGAGUGCAGGAGAGGAGAAUGGAAUUCCUAGUGUAGCGGUGAAAUGCGUAGAGAUUAGGAAGAACACCAGUGGCGAAGGCGAUUCUCUGGACUGUAACUGACGCUGAGGCACGAAAGCGUGGGUAGCAAACAGGAUUAGAUACCCUGGUAGUCCACGCCGUAAACGAUGAGUACUAGGUGUAGGAGGUAUCGACCCCUUCUGUGCCGCAGUAAACACAUUAAGUACUCCGCCUGG